GGAAAACUAGAAAAAAAUCAGUCAGCUGAAAGUGAAAAAUAUCCUUGAUGAGGAAUUGAAAACAUUUCAAGGACUAGAAUACUUAGAGCGGAUAAAGAGGCUCCUCAAAAAUAAGAAUAGGCAAGCUUUGCAAUGCUGUGUCCAAGAAGAGAUCUGGACCAUCCUGGGAAGACAUCAUAUGGUUGCAAUUCUAAAAGACAGGUGUUGAUGAGACAAAGCACGUUGCUCAAACUUCAGAAAAGAAAUUUUUAAAUCAAUAUUUUUCUACUACUAUCUAUGGUUAAACGAAUACAACUGUUUAUUAUUUAUAAAAUAAUAGUUGCCUCCGGCUGCUUCGCCAGAAAUAUCGUUUAUAUUUAUUUUCAGAUAAAUCGUUUGGUUAUAAUUUUAUGACCAUGAUUUA
Long non-coding RNA from Argiope bruennichi, 403 nucleotides. RefSeq lists it as uncharacterized. The transcript is spliced from 3 exons. Lineage: Eukaryota; Metazoa; Arthropoda; Arachnida; Araneae; Araneidae. The record is from RefSeq and is a predicted model, not a curated record.